UGACGAUCAAACUCGUGAACAAGAGACGGAUAAAUUGUGGCCGAAACUGCUCAAGAUAACUCGCCUUUCAAGAGAGAAGCACGACUAGCUAUUCCUCGGAGCUUAUUGGUGAAAUGAUGAAGGUAGAGUUUUAGAGCUAAAGCUAAACUAAAGGCGAAAUGUACUGAACAAAUACGGGACCUGAGAAAAUUACAGUUGACUGAAUUGCCAAAGAACUGAAUUCUACUCGCGUUUAAGGAGACAGCAAGUCCAAAGCUGCUCUUUCUACACUUGCUGCUGAAAUGAACAGGUGGAGAUUUAGCGAGUCAAAACCAUAUGAAACGACGAUAAACCUGUUCAUAAUAAAAUGUUGAUGAUAUAUUAUAAGAAAUCACGGCUGGGUUGAGCUAUAACCACGGCAAAACGAUGCCAAAACGACGCCAAACGAUACAACGUCGAACAGCAGCGUAUAUCGGCGAUGUUCCCCGACAUCGUUAAAGGUUAGAGUAGCUUGGUGGUCAAAAAAUGUGCAU
This is a long non-coding RNA of Dendronephthya gigantea, 512 nucleotides long. RefSeq lists it as uncharacterized. The record is from RefSeq and is a predicted model, not a curated record. NCBI's taxonomy places the organism in Eukaryota, Metazoa, Cnidaria, Anthozoa, Malacalcyonacea, Nephtheidae. The transcript has 4 exons.